AUGCAUGGUUGCCCAUGUGUUGCCACAGAACAAUCCUACAGUCGGGCAGUGCUAUCCUACAGUGGGGAUGAGAGGAUUCAGCGGCUUCACCGGUGGCUUGUCUAUCUCCAGGAGAUGGAGCCCGCCGCCUCAUCGAUGUGGGAGCUGCAUUGCACGUACAGGGCACGACGGCUCAUGGAUGCUGGAGCUGUAGUGCACUGUUUAGGAGUUCGAAAGCAUGAAGGAGGAGAUUACCUACAAGUGUUUAAGAUCACGCAGGAGGAUGUCAAAGUUUUCCAUUGUCCGGCACUUGUGAGCAAGCAGUAUAUGGACUUCACUCUGAUUCUAAAGAAAAAGUGGGCUACCUGA
Molecule: ribosomal RNA, 348 nt
Filed under: Triticum aestivum (bread wheat)
Lineage: Eukaryota; Viridiplantae; Streptophyta; Magnoliopsida; Poales; Poaceae
Description: partial small subunit ribosomal RNA
Source: RNAcentral